RNAcentral lists this ribosomal RNA (1179 nucleotides) under Triticum aestivum (bread wheat). RNAcentral's name for it is "partial small subunit ribosomal RNA". The record is from RNAcentral. Lineage: Eukaryota; Viridiplantae; Streptophyta; Magnoliopsida; Poales; Poaceae.
AUGUCAUCGUUCGCCGGUGUAUCUAUCUUGGAGGACAGCAAGUUGUGCCCUUCCACCACGACCUUCGUCGAGACCCGCUCCCGCUGCGGGUACCACCUGCUUGUGGUCCAAGGUUACUCGCGUACCAAAAAGGAGACACCCACUGGGCAGAGCAUCGAGUCUCGUGGUUUCGGGGUGGGAGGCCAUCGUUGGUCCAUCAAGUAUUAUCCCAAUGGUGAGAACUCGAGUUGCUCGGACUUCGUUUCUCUCUAUGUAUCCCGCCUUGACGGUGGUGACAGGAAGCAUGUGGAAGCCAGGUUCGUUUUUAGUUUUGUCGACCAGGUUGAGAAGCAGAACCCAGUAUACAUUCGCGAAAGCGAAAGCGAAACACGCAGAUCCCUCUUCAAUGGUUCUUAUUGGGGCUGCGGCACGUUUAUGAGAAGAGACGCCCUUGAACGAUCAAUAUAUCUAGGGGAGGAUGAUUGUUUCACCAUUCGGUGUGACGUCAUGGUCUGCAACCCCCAGGAUGCCAGCGGCCAUGGAGCCGAGGUGCUCCUACCUGACAUGCACCACCAUUUCAACAAUCUCCUUGACAACAAGGUGGGCACUGAUGUGAAGUUUGAGGUCGACGGCGAGACAUUUGAUGCACAUCGAUGUGUGCUUGCAGCCCGAUCUAAAGUCUUCAUGGCACAACUCUUUGGCCCAAUGCAGGAGGGCACGGUUACCCCUGCUGUCAUACAGAUUGAAGACAUGGAAGCAAAAGUUUUCAAGGCCUUGCUUAGCUUUAUCUACACAGACUCAUUCCCUAUGAUGGAGUAUGACGACAUGGAUGAGGAUGAAAUGUCACAACUUAUGGAAGAAGGACAAGAAACGGAAGCAAUAGAAGAUGGAAUGCUGCUGCAAUGGCUCCGAGACUUGUUUGUAGCGGCUGACAAAUAUGACGUCCAACGCCUCAAAUGCAUUUGUGUGAGGCAGCUGUCCAAACACAUGGGUGUGCUCUCGGUGAUGUCCACUCUUGCUCUAGCCGAGCAACAUCACUGCCAGGAAUUGAAGGAGGCGUGCUUGAAGUUUAUCCAAGUCCAGUCUUCGAUGUGCUUGCAAGCAAUAAUGACAACUAAUGGUUGGGAUCAUGUAUACACGACCUACCCCUUCAUUGUGAAGGAGCUCAUUGCCAAGCUUGCUUCGAACCAGCGGAAAUAA